This 497-nucleotide ribosomal RNA is filed under the name uncultured bacterium. Its description in RNAcentral is "partial 16S ribosomal RNA". It matches the Rfam family "Bacterial small subunit ribosomal RNA", at positions 28 to 507 of the family's 1533-position model. The record is from RNAcentral.
GAUGAACGCUGGCGGCGUGCCUAAUACAUGCAAGUCGAGCGAACGGACGAGAAGCUUGCUUCUCUGAUGUUAGCGGCGGACGGGUGAGUAACACGUGGAUAACCUACCUAUAAGACUGGGAUAGCUUCGGGAAACCGGAGCUAAUACCGGAUAAUAUUUUGAACCGCAUGGUUCAAAAGUGAAAGACGGUCUUGCUGUCACUUAUAGAUGGAUCCGCGCUGCAUUAGCUAGUUGGUAAGGUAACGGCUUACCAAGGCAACGAUGCAUAGCCGACCUGAGAGGGUGAUCGGCCACACUGGAACUGAGACACGGUCCAGACUCCUACGGGAGGCAGCAGUAGGGAAUCUUCCGCAAUGGGCGAAAGCCUGACGGAGCAAUGCCGCGUGAGUGAUGAAGGUCUUCGGAUCGUAAAACUCUAUUAUUAGGGAAGAACAUAUGUGUAAGUAACUGUGCACAUCUUGACGGUACCUAAUCAGAAAGCCACGGCUAACUACGUG